UGGCUCAGAUUGAACGCUGGCGGCAGGCCUAACACAUGCAAGUCGAGCGGCAGCGGAAGGAACCUUGCUUCCUUGCCGGCGAGCGGCGGACGGGUGAGUAAUGUCUGGGGAUCUGCCCGAUGGAGGGGGAUAACUACUGGAAACGGUAGCUAAUACCGCAUAACGUCGCAAGACCAAAGUGGGGGACCUUCGGGCCUCACACCAUCGGAUGAACCCAGAUGGGAUUAGCUAGUAGGCGGGGUAAAGGCCCACCUAGGCGACGAUCUCUAGCUGGUCUGAGAGGAUGACCAGCCACACUGGAACUGAGACACGGUCCAGACUCCUACGGGAGGCAGCAGUGGGGAAUAUUGCACAAUGGGGGAAACCCUGAUGCAGCCAUGCUCUCGCGUGUAUGAAGAAGGCCUUCGGGUUGUAAAGUACUUUCAGCGGGGAGGAAGGCAGUGAACUUAAUACGUUCGCUGAUUGACGUUACCCGCAGAAGAAGCACCGGCUAACUCCGUGCCAGCAGCCGCGGUAAUACGGAGGGUGCAAGCGUUAAUCGGAAUGACUGGGCGUAAAGCGCACGCAGGCGGUUUGUUAAGUCAGAUGUGAAAUCCCCGAGCUUAACUUGGGAACUGCAUUUGAAACUGGCAAGCUAGAGUCUUGUAGAGGGGGGUAGAAUUCCAGGUGUAGCGGUGAAAUGCGUAGAGAUCUGGAGGAAUACCGGUGGCGAAGGCGGCCCCCUGGACAAAGACUGACGCUCAGGUGCCAAAGCGUGGGGAGCAAACAGGAUUAAAUACCCUGGUACUCCACGCUGUAAACAAUGUCAA
Molecule: ribosomal RNA, 809 nt
Filed under: Brenneria sp. AaD48j
Lineage: Bacteria; Pseudomonadati; Pseudomonadota; Gammaproteobacteria; Enterobacterales; Pectobacteriaceae
Description: bacterial SSU rRNA
Rfam family: Bacterial small subunit ribosomal RNA
Source: RNAcentral